This 45-nucleotide non-coding RNA is filed under the name Schistosoma curassoni. Lineage: Eukaryota; Metazoa; Platyhelminthes; Trematoda; Strigeidida; Schistosomatidae. The record is from RNAcentral.
AUCCAACUGACGAGUCCCAAAUAGGAUGAAACGUGCGUCCUGUAU